AAGCCGACUCUCUGGUCUCAGUUGGGCCACCUCUGAAGGGCUGUCCCAGCUUCUGUGGCAUGGCUGUGGACUCUUUUGUGACUAUAGCCCAGCUCACCCCCUCCUUCUGCCCCAUCCUGCCUCCCAGGGAGGUUGCCGAGUCUACUUUCCAAUGAUCCCCCUGCACACAAUCUCAUCUCUGAGACUGCUUCCUGGGAAAUCUGAUCUGCGACAACUUCCUGACGUCCUGGGAAGAGGAAUCCCUGAAAAUACAGACUAUAUCAAGAAGGAAAAAACCACCCUACUCCAACUAAUCAGAGAUAGAUAGCUACUGUUAUGAUUUUGGUGUAUUUCUGCUUUUGGAGACAGAGAGUGUGCCCAGGAUCCAGAUGGAAGACCAGGUGACUUAUUUGUGCAGUUCCAGCUUCAUCAGUGGAAGAGGGUUGUUACCAGGAAGAGGACUUAUCCAUGGAGCGUCCACGGGACAGCUGUUGGGCACUGGAAAAUACCGAGUAAGGACCAGGUGACCUGAAGGAGCUGAACCCUAGACUAGGAACCACGUGCAUCAAGAAGCCCAGGAGAGCGAGUCCUCCCCAGAAGGGCCUGUGGAGCGGAGAGCGGACGCCUUGUGUUUCUGCGCCCCCUGUCGAAUGCCUCCAGGCCACAGGGGGGCGCCUCAGCUGCUCCAACUGGCAAGGAAGAUAAAGGGUCCCCUUAAGUGCCAAGGAGAGGAUCGGGGACCUUGCACCUGAAUAAGGGAAAUGAGAUGACUCCCACACUUCAAUUCCUCCUCAGGUGAAACUCACCCAGCAUAGCUGGCGCUCUGUGGACAUAAGAUUCAUAUAUUUUUCCAAAAUAAAUCUGGACCUCUUUUAUAAGUAAACACAAUAAAAAACAGAAUAGUAGAGGCAUUAGAUGUUACCAGACAUCUGAGACGUCAUUAGAACAACUAGGCCUGGCUCUGAGCUAAGACAAAAAGGAAAAUCUGGAGUGAGAUAGUACACAGCAUCUGAAAACAUUAAGUGUGCACAUCUGUUUUUGCUGGGCCACUGCUUCCUGGUGCAAAUUCAAGGAAGAAUUUAUUAUUUAGGUUCCAGUAUAAGUGUAUGUUGGGCACCCAGUUAAAAAAAGCCUUCAAAUAGAAUCUCAAAAAAGACCAAGAAUGUGACAUGGGAUGGCAGAAUUAAGAUUACAGAGGCAGACUCAAUAUCUGGUCACCGCCUCUUAGAUUGGAAUUAACACUAUACUUUUAAAAAUAAUCACUUUUUGAAUAAAUAUUUUUCUUAUACAUGCUAUUGUAGGACAUUUGUAAGAUACAGAUUUAAAAAAGAGAAAUCUAUAACCACGUCACUCAUGGAACCAUUAUCAACAUUUUAGUGGUCAUCUUCCCAUCUAUUUGUCUAUACAGAGGCAAGUUUAUCUACAGAGAUGAGAAAUUACUACACAUAAAUAUUUUGUUAAACAUGUUUUCAUUUAAUGAUAGAGCAUAAACAUUCCUCAUUUGAUAAAUCUUUCUACAAUAUCACUCUGAAUGCUUGCAACACUGUGUUGACAUUAAUGCUACCAAAUAUAUCAGUAGGAUGUUACAAUACAUUCAGUCAAUCCCCCUCAUGCUAAGUAUUUACUUGGGUUUCUAACGUUUCACCUUUAUAAACAAUUCUGUGGUGAACAUCUUGUGCUAUUGUUCUCCAGGUAUCCCCUGUGGCUACUUAUGUUUCAAGGAGGGUAGGUCUAGUCCUUUCAAGGCCAGGGUGCCACAAAAGUCAAUGAAUUAUUUGUCCAGUGACUUGUGGACAUGAUUUGUACUUUCUGCACUUUUCCAGGCACAGAGGAGGAAAUGGUACUAGGAACCCACAGUCCUGAUUUAAAGAAGAUUUCUGGGCUGCCUAGUGAAGGCAAUAGAAAUCUUUGUAUCCCUGCAUCCUGGAGCCUCCAGAUAGGAUGCAAGCAGAGAAGACAGAGUAGGGGAUCAUCUGAGUGGGAAGACAAGAUGGACUUUAUGUUGGCCACCAUUAGAGUUCUAAUGUUCCCUGAGAGGAGUGGGCUCUAAUUCCUGUUGAUGUACUUCUCUACUUGAGGGUCUGCCUGGCGUCAGGAGCACCAUGGCCCUCAAUGCAUAGAGGUAGGAUGCAUUUGGAUGCUCUUGCUCUUACGUAGUGAGUUUGUGAUCCACGCUCUUCUCCCUGCACAGCUGUGUGGCAUUUGAAAGUAGUUCUCCCUCUCCAUGGUUCUUGGGAGGGCUUGAAAAUGAUUUGUGAUCUAGGUACCAAGACUAAAAUCCCCUCCAAAGAAUCACACAAACAUACAAUAUCCCAUUCCAUCAAGUUCUCCCGAGGCAUGGUAAUCCCUAGUUAACCUCAGACAUAUGAGAAUUUAUAAUAUGUUUGAACACUUAACAAGGAAGGAUUUUUCUGGGUAAUAUGUUACAGUAGCAUGAACAACUAUAACAUUCCCAAUGUCUAAAAACUUCACUCUAAGUACACAUAGGUAGACUUAAAUAUAUACUCAUUGCAAAUCUGAAUUUGUUGUUAUCAUAUUCCCAGCAUUAUUCUUUUUCCCUAAGUGAUUUCUAUUUUCUAGAUUGUACUCCAACCCAAAAGGACAUACUUUUGAGAAAAUAGUCCAUUAAAGACAUUGUUGGGGCAACUUUUAUUAUUCAUUAGUGCAUUUUAAAGUGGGCCUGAAUAGAAAUGCUUUUUGCUAAAGUAAAAAAUACAUCUGUUUCUAUGAUCUAAUUAUACAAUUGGUUAGAAUUUCUAUCUAUCAGUUCAAAGGGAAACGUGGUUUCAAUGAAUUUGUUUUUAAUAAAAAUGUGUUAUCUAUGAUAAAUAUAUUUUGCUUUGUUCAAAUGGAUCUGAUUGGGAAAACAUAUUGAGCAGAAGUACUGGUAGAGCUUAAUUUCAUUGCUUUGAGAAAACGUAUUGAAUGCUGGUUUGAAUUAAAUUGUAUUUGUUAUAAUAAAAGUGUAUUGGCCUGAGUGUACAUAUAUUUGUUUUAGUGGCAGU
Manis javanica (Malayan pangolin) is the source of this 2984-nucleotide non-coding RNA. Lineage: Eukaryota; Metazoa; Chordata; Mammalia; Pholidota; Manidae. The record is from RefSeq and is a predicted model, not a curated record.